CGAGUGGCGAACGGGUGAGUAACACGUGGGUGAUCUGCCUUGCACUUCGGGAUAAGCUUGGGAAACUGGGUCUAAUACCGGAUAGGACAGCUGUUUAGUGUCAGUUGUGGAAAGUUUUUUCGGUGCAAGAUGAGCUCGCGGCCUAUCAGCUUGUUGGUGGGGUAAUGGCCUACCAAGGCGUCGACGGGUAGCCGGCCUGAGAGGGUGUACGGCCACAUUGGGACUGAGAUACGGCCCAGACUCCUACGGGAGGCAGCAGUGGGGAAUAUUGCACAAUGGGCGGAAGCCUGAUGCAGCGACGCCGCGUGGGGGAUGAAGGCCUUCGGGUUGUAAACUCCUUUCGACAGGGACGAAGCUUUUGUGACGGUACCUGUAUAAGAAGCACCGGCUAACUACGUGCCAGCAGCCGCGGUAAUACGUAGGGUGCGAGCGUUGUCCGGAAUUACUGGGCGUAAAGAGCUCGUAGGUGGUUUGUCGCGUCGUCUGUGAAAUUCCGGGGCUUAACUCCGGGCGUGCAGGCGAUACGGGCUGACUUGAGUGCUGUAGGGGAGACUGGAAUUCCUGGUGUAGCGGUGAAAUGCGCAGAUAUCAGGAGGAACACCGAUGGCGAAGGCAGGUCUCUGGGCAGUAACUGACGCUGAGGAGCGAAAGCAUGGGUAGCGAACAGGAUUAGAUACCCUGGUAGUCCAUGCCGUAAACGGUGGGCGCUAGGUGUAGGGGGCUUCCACGUCUUCUGUGCCGUAGCUAACGCAUUAAGCGCCCCGCCUGGGGAGUACG
Molecule: ribosomal RNA, 777 nt
Filed under: Corynebacterium striatum
Lineage: Bacteria; Bacillati; Actinomycetota; Actinomycetes; Mycobacteriales; Corynebacteriaceae
Description: bacterial SSU rRNA
Rfam family: Bacterial small subunit ribosomal RNA
Source: RNAcentral